GACGAACGCUGGCGGCGUGCUUAACACAUGCAAGUCGAACGGUAAGGCCCUUCGGGGUACACGAGUGGCGAACGGGUGAGUAACACGUGGGUAAUCUGCCCUGCACAUCGGGAUAAGCCUGGGAAACUGGGUCUAAUACCGAAUAGGACCACAGGACACAUGUCCUGUGGUGGAAAGCUUUUGCGGUGUGGGAUGGGCCCGCGGCCUAUCAGCUUGUUGGUGGGGUGAUGGCCUACCAAGGCGACGACGGGUAGCCGGCCUGAGAGGGUGUCCGGCCACACUGGGACUGAGAUACGGCCCAGACUCCUACGGGAGGCAGCAGUGGGGAAUAUUGCACAAUGGGCGAAAGCCUGAUGCAGCGACGCCGCGUGGGGGAUGACGGCCUUCGGGUUGUAAACCUCUUGCACCAUCGACGAAGGUCCGGGUUUUCUCGGGCUGACGGUAGGUGGAGAAGAAGCACCGGCCAACUACGUG
This 474-nucleotide ribosomal RNA is filed under the name uncultured bacterium. RNAcentral describes it as "partial 16S ribosomal RNA". It matches the Rfam family "Bacterial small subunit ribosomal RNA", at positions 28 to 507 of the family's 1533-position model. The record is from RNAcentral.